CCGGUCGGUUCUGAGCUGCUUUUAUUGCGAUGAGCUAAGUUUGUUGUGUGAUUAACUGGAAAGAUCUAGGACUAAACUCCCUCUUACGGCUCCCUCACCAACUCCCCCAUGACUUUGGCCACACCCUCCCUCAGGAAAUUUGUUGCAGAAUUUGUGGUGAGACUACAAUACAGUCUCCAGGAAAAUGACAGGAAGAGUUGGAGUACAUCAUCAAAGCUUUCAUUGUCAUAACAAAAACACCAUAGAUAAACGACUUCUGGUGUUUGUUUUGAUUGGUAAUUUUGAACCUUCCAGUUCACUGACAGGACGGGCACCAUUGCUUUGUUCCUAAAAGCCAUGGAACACAUUGAAGAGGAGAGCAUGUCAAAAGCAAAGAAGAGUCAGGCCCCAUGACUCCCUCCAUCAAAGGAGACAUUCCCAGGGAACUAAAGACAUUGUACUACACUUCUAAAGAUUCUACCAUCCCUCCAAAGCACUGGCCUGGUGAUAGAAUUUUUAACAUAAGCCUUUUAGGGUAUAUUUGGGAACCAAACUCCAGCACCUUUGCAACCAGGUGUGUCCAUCCCAUGAGGUAUUUACAUCAAAGAAAAUGUCCCAGCCAUGUUCAGAGAAAUGUGUGAUGGCAGAGGGAUCAAGUCAAAGUGACUGGCUUUAAAGAUCUAUUAAGAUAGUCACAGACUGAAUGCUGUCGGCUUAUGAAGACUAGAAACGAGUAUGAAAUUCUCCCUUGGAUCCUCCAGGAAUGAAUUCUCUCUGGAAAUCACGUUGUCUUCACCCUGGUAAAAAUGAUGUCAGAUUUAAAAACUUAAAAUUUCAAAGAUGAUGUAGUUGUGUUCCUUUUAGGCACCAAAUUUGUUGUAAUCUGUACCCACAACAUUGGAAAUGUAACGUGUAGGCCGUACCUCCCUGAGUGGUCCAUCUGUUUGAAACUUUUCAGAUUUUAAGCUACUUCUAUGCUGUGCACUUAGUGUUAAAUGUAGUCUUGAUUGAGUGAUUGCUCUACCAAGGAAGCUCCUUCUAAAGAAAUGAUUUGUCCUCAUUAGGUUCUGAUGGCAAUCUUUGCCUCCCAGCAGUCUCUUCCUUGCCUGUGCAAUGAUGCAUUAACCGCUCUCUGAGAGAAAUGUGUUGCAAUGUGCUGUUUAUUCAAGAGAUCUGGAGAAAGCCCCAAAAUUACACUUGACUUUGCAAGAAGAUUAGCAAACAAUAGCGCUAUUUUGAAAGACAGAGAUCUGUAUCAUUGAAAAGGGAAGUUGCAAAACUAACUUGUCCUUUAUCUAUUGAGAUUCCUUAGGAAGGAGGAAUUUACAACUUGUAUUAUCCUAGCUGGAGACACUUUUAUGCUGCUGGCAUUUGUCCAGUACAAGUUUAUCUGAUACCCUAAGGCUUCACAGAGCCUCCUUUGGGAUGUAGUUCCAAAGUGCUUGUGCAAAAUGUAAUAGAAAAGUUGAUGUAGCAGAGAAAGGAAAAAAACCCCACAUCAUUUAUUUAAAAAGAACAGAGAACAGAAAAACUGGUUUUAGAAAAUGGAUAAAGUCUGGUGUAAAGUAAGUAAUUGAACGUAUUUUCCCCUCCCCUUUCUUAUUGCCCACUUACUAUGCCUUCAAUGACUAUUGUAUUUAUAUAUCUUAUUACGAACAUAAAUUAUAUCCUAAAACAAUCUCCAAUUUUUGCACCUGCCUGGAAAUGACAAUUGUAUUUACUGUGUACUCUCUAUGUACUAAUAGAUAUGAAGUCAUUUAAAGACUUAGGAGACAUUCAAAGAAGAAAUUAUGUUCUAGGAGUAAGUCAUGUUAACAAUAACCUGAGUGUAGUUUUUAAAGUUUAUAUGCAAUAUAUAUACAUAUGUACAUAUUAUCAUUUCAAGUUUUUUUUAAAUUUUGUAUUUCUAUUUUCUGAACUGCACUGUAAUGAUUUAACUGAUGAGUAAUUAUAGCUCAGUGUGUAUUUCCUUUUUUUCUUCAACUUUCUUAGAAUUCAAGCAUUGUCAGUCAACAAUAGCCAAAUAUCCAUAUUUUUCCAGUUAUUUAUAUUUAUACUGUUUUCCAUAGCUAAAAAUAUCAUUUUCACUCAUGUAAGAAAUAUGUAUGCAAAAUUCUUGGGCUAUCUCUCAUAGUAAGUUUUGGGGAAUAUUUAGUUGAAUCAACUCUAGACCAUAAAUAAAAAUAUCCUCAAUUCCAUUUCUACUCUGAGCCCAUUGUGUAUCUCACGCUUUCUGAUAUGGUUUUACUCUCUGUAACAAGGCUUGAGUGAUCCUGCUAUUUCCAUCUCAACAGGUGAGUGUUGACUUUGACUAAAAACAGCAAAUCUUAGAUUAUAAUGCAAAUAAAGUUAGAUAAAAGGUCAAAUGUCCAAGCUAUGAACCUGUAAAGAAAGGGGAAAAAAAUAGCACAGCGUCUUAGAGAUGGAAAGCAGGGGAUCUCUUCAGUUCCAAACUAGAACUGAAAGUAGAAAUGUGUCCAUUGACAAUAAGAAGUUUCCCUCUCUUAGCUGGUUACUUAUCUUAGUCAUUACUGUGGUUGCCAAACCGCUCACAUCAUUCUAUGUCACUUUGAGGUUUUCUCAAGAACUCUGUAAAUGAUUAAACACAUUUCUUAGAUAUUAAAAUUAAAUAUUGAUUGUAGCCUCCGAGUUAAUCCAUUGCUUUUGACAACACCUUCAACCAUCAUAGUCAUUCUCUCUCUCCCAUUUCUUCUUCACAGCCAAAAUACAAUUCAUUAUCAUUUCAUACAAUUUUGUGUGCUCUUGACUUGUUGAACCAUUAGAAAAUCCUCCCUCAUGUUGAUCUCAAAUUCCACCAUAAUUCUGCCUCCCAAAAUCAAUCAAACAAUAAACCUAUUCCCAAUUAUUUAAGGUGAUCAUAAGUUAUAGGAUGUACACAACAGCAGUCCUGUAACUAUUCAUUAUUAGCCCAGUGCUGGGGAGGGAAAGACAGGUGAAUCUCUGAGUCUUGCUGGACAAUCUGUCUGGCUGCACCAAAGAGCUCCAGGUUUGGUAAGAAACCCUAUCUCAAAAAAAUUAAGUGAUGAAGGAUUAAGGACUUUGACUUUAGACUUACACACACACACACACACACACACACACUGACAUAAUACACACUUGUGUAAACAUGUACACCUACAGACAGGCAGAAUAGAACUUACUUUGUCUCUGUAUGGACUCAAAACCAUACUGGUGUCAAUUAGAUUCAAUGCUGACCCUAUUAUCUACUGGCAAGCUAUUAUAUAUCAAGAACAAUGGAAAGACCAUUGUAAUAACAAUGUAUUGUUUUAUCCCCAUAACAAUGAACUAUGCACUGUUGCUGGUGCAGCGCACUAUUUCCAUCCAAAUGCAAUCAUCUCACCUCCGAAUUUUGCCACUGCAGUCUCUUGGUCUCUCACUACUACUUUCUCAGCAGCUUCGUGACCCUCCUUCUACCUACUUGGUGGAUAUUUAUGAGUAAUAAAGUAUAAAUGUGCACAAAUAUAUUUUACAGCAGUAUUAAAACUGUGUAGUAAAACCAUUCCCACAUAAUAAAUCCUCAGAAAUGCAAUAAUUUUACGGUGUAAUUUUUCCAUGUAAUCUUUUCUUUAACUCGUACUUACAAGGUUAUGUCAGCUCAUAGAUUUACAUGUGAUUCAGUUACGAAGCUAUAACAGGUAAAUACUUAAUCAUACAUAUUUUGGCUGUUCAUCCAAGAUGAACUGUACAAUAAUUCAGAAAAGAUACAUAUCGUUAAGAGUUUUUUGAAAUAUGAAAACGAAGGAAAGAACACUACAAAGGCAUACAUGAAGAAAAAUCUUUGAAAUAUUUAUCCACAUUCAAAACCAGAGACUCUUGUUUUUCAACAGGAAUACAAUUCAAUUGCAAUAGCAUUAGGAGCAAAAAAUAACUGUACAGGAAUGUGUUUUAAAUUACCGAAGUGACACCUUACACUCUUUUCAUAUCAGGUUCAGGACCCCCCUGUUCUUCAUAGUUCACAAAUAUAUAAACAGACCUGUCAGACCUCGCCAAAUUUAUUAACAUUUGGCAGGUUGCCUCUGCAAAGGCAAAAGAAGAAAGAAGAAAGAAAAAAAACCCUCCUUUAGAAGGAAGUUUAAAAUGAGUAAGAAAAAUAACCACUUAAAUUCAACCGGCCCAAAGCAGGUUGCACUUACUGGCGAA
RNAcentral lists this small RNA (4140 nucleotides) under Rattus norvegicus (Norway rat). Its description in RNAcentral is "uncharacterized LOC103692033". Lineage: Eukaryota; Metazoa; Chordata; Mammalia; Rodentia; Muridae. The record is from RNAcentral.